CAGGAUGAACGCUAGCGACAGGCCUAACACAUGCAAGGUCGAGGGGCAGCACAAGGAGCAAUCUGAGGUGGCGACCGGCGCACGGGUGAGUAACACGUAUGCAACCUGCCUGUAAGCGGGGAAUAACCCGUUGAAAGACGGACUAAUACCGCAUAAUACUAAAUUACUGCAUGGUAAUUUAUUUAAACAUUUAUGGCUUACAGAUGGGCAUGCGCAUGAUUAGCUAGUUGGAGAGGUAACGGCUCCCCAAGGCAACGAUCAUUAGGGGUUCUGAGAGGAAGGUCCCCCACACUGGUACUGAGACACGGACCAGACUCCUACGGGAGGCAGCAGUGAGGAAUAUUGGUCAAUGGACGAGAGUCUGAACCAGCCAAGUCGCGUGCAGGAAGAAUGUCCCUAUGGAUUGUAAACUGCUUUUGCAGGGGAAUAAAGUGCAUCACGUGUGAUGUUUUGUAUGUACUCUGCGAAUAAGGAUCGGCUAACUCCGUGCCAGCCGCCGC
This 500-nucleotide ribosomal RNA is filed under the name uncultured bacterium. RNAcentral describes it as "bacterial SSU rRNA". It matches the Rfam family "Bacterial small subunit ribosomal RNA", at positions 25 to 518 of the family's 1533-position model. The record is from RNAcentral.